This 364-nucleotide unclassified non-coding RNA is filed under the name Agaricus sp. RNAcentral describes it as "partial internal transcribed spacer region". The stretch from base 1 to 46 matches the Rfam family "Eukaryotic small subunit ribosomal RNA", at positions 1786 to 1831 of the family's 1831-position model. Lineage: Eukaryota; Fungi; Basidiomycota; Agaricomycetes; Agaricales; Agaricaceae. The record is from RNAcentral.
AAGUCGUAACAAGGUUUCCGUAGGUGAACCUGCGGAAGGAUCAUUAUUGAAUUAUGUUUCUAAAUGGGUUGUAGCUGGCUUUUUAGAGCAUGUGCACGCCUGUUUGGACUUCAUUCUCAUCCACCUGUGCACCUUUUGUAGUCUUUGGUUGGGUAUCCAGGAUGUGGUCAGCCUAUCAGCAUCCGCUGGAUGUGAGGACUUGCAGUGUGAAAGCUCUGCUGUCCUUUACUUGAUCACAGAGUCGUGUUCUCACCAGAGUCUAUGUUAUUCAUUAUACCCUGUCGAAUGUCAUUGAAUGUCUUUACAUGGGCUUUAUGCCUGUUAAAUUAUAAUACAACUUUCAGCAACGGAUCUCUUGGCUCUC